Molecule: long non-coding RNA, 514 nt
Organism: Polyodon spathula (Mississippi paddlefish)
Lineage: Eukaryota; Metazoa; Chordata; Actinopteri; Acipenseriformes; Polyodontidae
Exons: 5
Source: RefSeq, a predicted model, not a curated record
UUGAUUGUGAUAACAUCAGAGCUGGUGUUUUCCAUUCAGCCUUCCAUUGAGACGCUGAAUAAGAUCCUGAGAGAUCCUUACUGUACAGCUGAUUAGGAGAGUAUGGAUUAUUUACCCUUCUGAAACUGAAGUAAGAAUUCAGAACACUUGCAGUAAUCAAUUGCAACCGAGUCACAAAAUGAAGAUCUCUCCUUUGGCUGUAUUGAACUGUGCACUGUUUGUCCUCACCUUCCAGGUCACAGUUACAGAUGAAGCAAAAUGCAGUGUCACUGGCCAAGUAGCAGAAUGUAUAUGCCAACAAAACUAUACUUGGAGUGGCCCUGUAUGCAUGUUGUACCCGGAAUGCUGUUUGAAUGAAACAUUCUGCAAAAUGAUUGUAUCAAAAAACACAAUGAUGUGUCUAUCUAAGGAAAGGGUAACUGUGAGGGGAACACUUAUUAUACCUGGCACAUUUACAGAAGAUCUUAAUGACAUUAAGAGUGUUGCCUACACAAACCUUUCAAAAAAGAUUGGA